Saccostrea cuccullata (small rock oyster) is the source of this 304-nucleotide long non-coding RNA. RefSeq lists it as uncharacterized. The transcript has 3 exons. Lineage: Eukaryota; Metazoa; Mollusca; Bivalvia; Ostreida; Ostreidae. The record is from RefSeq and is a predicted model, not a curated record.
GAGAGUUCCGAAAAUCAACUUCCGUUGAUCCUGAUCAUAACAACGUUUGUUUUCAUGGAAAAAAUAUGGCGACUAAGAAACACUUAAUGUCAACAAGAUUUUCUGAUUGAAAAGAGAAAAGGUCAAACAGGAACUUCAAUUGUGAACAUUGCAGAGAACACACUCAUCAGAAGAUGACCCUCAGAAAUAGGAGAAUUAAUGAAUAAAAUGGACAGAGGCAGAACAGAAGGAGAUGCAUGAAAUGGGGAAUAUUUCAAAGAUUGCCUGAGCAUAACCACUGCUACUGGAUAAACAUAUGGCAAUA